UGCCAGGUGAUUGAAGGAAAAGCAUGGCUUCUGCUAUGUGCUCCCACCCAAACUGAUACUGGUGGCCAUGGAUGCCCAUUGAUAUAUGCCUUAAGGUCCAGAACCAUGUUCUCAAUUACUGGCACAGUUUUGUCUCACUAGGCUGACCUCAAAGUUUCAGUCUAGUAUAACAAUGAGCAUAGCUCAUGACUUCCAUAAAAUCCUUUACUUACCCUUGAAGUACUUGGCCUCAAAGAGUAGUUC
RNAcentral lists this long non-coding RNA (243 nucleotides) under Musa acuminata (dwarf banana). RNAcentral's name for it is "long non-coding RNA (MACU_LNC000423)". Lineage: Eukaryota; Viridiplantae; Streptophyta; Magnoliopsida; Zingiberales; Musaceae. The record is from RNAcentral.